This is an RNA transcript of Neoarius graeffei (lesser salmon catfish), 4975 nucleotides long. RefSeq lists it as uncharacterized. The transcript has 4 exons. NCBI's taxonomy places the organism in Eukaryota, Metazoa, Chordata, Actinopteri, Siluriformes, Ariidae. The record is from RefSeq and is a predicted model, not a curated record.
AUUUCCUCAUUGACUUGGUCUUGAUUAUCAAUGCUAAUAUUGUUAAUAAGUAGCUUGUGAAUUUUCUUUUUUGUUUGUCUUUGUUUUUCCAGACUAAAGAAACAGGAAGUAUUCAGAUUUAUACAUGUCGGUGUUAAAGUGAGUUGGGCGACGGUCCACUAGAGUGCUGUUUCCGAACAGGAGCGUUAUGGAACAGUUCCAGCAGCCUCUGCACUUGUGUGUGUAGCAUAUUAGCGCCGUUAGCGAACACCUGCUAGUUCCUGUGCAGUUGAGAGUUGUUGUUGUCAGUAAUGGUGUUUCUCCGCUGAGCUCCCGGUGCCGCUGCUGAGCGCGGCGCUUCAUUAAAGUGGCAGCCGGUGGAGAGCAGCCGUUAGCCGGCUGUGUGAGGGGAUUUUAUCGCGCUUCGCCCCUGCCUGCGCUCCACACAGGGACUAUAGACCGUUUGCCCAUGAGCCUCUCUGAUUUAGCCGCGUCCGCCAUCUUUGCGCAAUAACACAUGCGGAGGGAGCAGCAAGGACCUUCAGCCCAAAUGGCGCAGACUCGCGCAGGUCUCGGCUGCUGGAGCUGUUCUGCUCAGGCUGGAGGCGGAUUGUUGAGUUGAGCCGCUGCUCCAAUGCGAGAAAGAGCCCAAAUGGAAGCUCGAACCCGGAGGCGGCAGAGACAGACAGCGGCUUGCGCAUCUCAACACAUGGAGCAGAAAAGAAAGCAGCUGCAAAUCUGCCCGAGUCUGUGCGGAUCAUUCCGGAAAGGCCGAGUUUAUAUUUCUACCGUUUAUGUGAACCGGAGACAAAAUAUAUAAAGCUGUGAUCCGCAUGGAAGCGCUGCUCCGAUUUCUAUUGCAGCUCCAAGUGCGCAGGCGCAGUAAAGCGCAGGAGCUGAGCUCGGGGAAAUGGCGCUGAGAAGAGGCAGCGAUCAGCAAUGACUGAUCAGGGGAAGAAUAGGAAGGCCCGAAUUUGUCAAAAGAUUUGGGUGGAAAGCCGAAAAGUGGACUUGCAUCUUAGUGUCUACCUGGGUGUUCUCCCAAUUUUGAAAGAGUAUGUCAUGGUCUUUCAAGAAGCAAAACUCUGGUGCACAAGCUGCAUGACAAGCAGCUUGAGGUGUUUGUCAACUUUUUUGGCCUGCUUCAUAAAGCCUGAGCACCUAAAGAUGUCACCAAUCAAAUUGCUGAAAUUGGAUUUGGCCCAAAAAAAUUUUCACUCGCAGAUUUACCUUGGGAAAGUGGCAGAAGACCUGGUUGCAGCCCAGCCAAAGCAUCCAGUAGUCAUGGAUUUUAUUGAAAAUGUCACCAAGGCGUUCAUCAAUUGUGGCAAAUACAUGCAGGACAAACGACCCCUGAAAAGUAAAACCCUGCAGGCCUUGUCCUCCAUCGAUCCUGUGGUGAGGGGCUAUUCACAGAUGGUUAUCCAGCUGAAGGAGUUGGCUAUUAUCAUGAAGCACUUGGUGCCCACAGAGAGUGACUCCAGCAUGGAGAUACUAAGGCAGGGGUUCUCGAACUAUUUCCAUGCCAAGGCCCCCCAAACAGCAUUAGCUUCUGGCCAGGGACCCCCUUUGCAAACCCACAGACAAUGCUACAAAAUAUGUAAAGAAACAUCAACUUUUAGAAUGUUUUCUCUUACUUUUAUUCAAUAGUCAAUAAUUGUUACAUUUGUUUAGCAUAAGAAUAUUAUUAACUAACGUUUUCAACACAAAUAUUUUCGCACUGAACAAUAAACUGUAUAACCUCCUGUAGUACCUGAUUCAACUCGUUAUCCAUCCUUUUUGCGACCAGUGCCUCGCGAUGGAGCAUGCAGUGUGUGGCCACUACAUGCGGGGCCUUCUGCUUAAUGAGAGCGGUCACUCCACUGAUCUUCCCGGUCAUUGCCGCGGCUCCGUCUGAACACACCCCCACACAACGGGUCCAGUCCAAUACGUUAGACUGGAUGUCAUCGUCCAAAACUUGAAAAAUGUCUUUCCCAGUAGUUCUUCUUUCAAGUGCUUUACAAAAUAGUAUUUCCUCCACAAAUCUUUCCUGUGAAAUAAAUCUGAUGUACACAAGCAGUUGGGCCUCAUUGGAUAAAUCUGUGCUCUCAUCCAGCUGAAGUGUGAAGUAUUCGCUGGCUCUCACCUGCUCCAACAGCUGAGCAGAUGGUCUUGAGCCACGUCACCAAUCCGUCGGCUCACGGUGUUAUCAGAGAGUGGGACAGCAUCAAUUUUUGUGGCAGCAUCCUCACCAAGCAAUUCUCGGGCAAUGUCUUUGGUGGCUGGUAAAAUCAAAUCUCCAACUGAGUGAGGUUUUUUAGCACGAGCAAUGUGGUAUGAGGCUAAAAAUGAUGCCUUCAGGGCCCGUUCGGGGACAGUAGCUUGCUGGGUGAAUGCAGCAGAUUGCCUGACCAAAUACUCUUCUUUGCAUCUGAAGAAAUCUACUGUUUUUUUGGUAUCUGUCGGAUGUUUUUGUACCAAGUGAUGCUGAAGUUUCGAAGGUUUUAAGCACUCGUUUGACAGGGUCUCCAGACAGAGGACGCAUUUCGGGCAAUCAUGGCCAUUUUUCUGUAUGGCUGUAAAGCCAUACUUAAUGUAUUCUGCCUCAUAUUUUCAGAUUUUAGUUGGCCAGGACUUCUUAGUUUUUUUCACAGCAGUGUCCUCCACAGCAGGGCUGUCGGUUUGUUCCUUCGGUCUCUUCUUCAAAAACCUGUCCAUUUUGCGCUAGCAAUACGCUAGCUUGAGGAGCAAAGCAGCUUGAUAAAUGACGCAAACUGCAACGUCACAGGCAAUCGGAGAGAUGAGCAUGGCAAACGACGUUUCGAUAUGAUGUAUUAUUAAUAAUUAUUAUAUUUUAUAAUGAUUAAAAAACUAAUUACAAUAUAUUUAAUGAUAAUUAUUUUAAAAAAGUAUAUAUAUAUUUUUUCACAAUUUUUUAUCGUCCCUCCAACUUUCUGAGGCCCUCCUAGCGCCCCCUGGCGGCCCCCACUUUGAAAACCACUGUACUAAGGUACAAUGUGGACCCCAACCUGGCCAACUACGAAGACGGAGAUGACAUUGUGAAGUGGUGGGCCCAUGUCAUAAGUCUGGGGAAGUAUCCAGCCCUCACGCAGGUCAUCAGAGGUGCCCUCUCCAUCUUCCAUGGGCCACUAGUAGAGUCCUCCUUCAGCCUCAUGGGUGAUGUGAUUGACAAGAAAAGUGCCACCAUGAGGAUCGCUACCUUUAAUGCUGUGCAAACAGUUAAAUACACCCUAAGAUCAAGGGGGAGGACAGGAAUCACCAUGUUCAAGAGGGAAGAUGUGAAACUUGGGCCAGUGGACAAAACUGUCUGCCGCAACAUCAGGGUAGCAGGGAAAAAGGAUAAAUCCUUCAGAGAGAAUAGAAUUGAGGAAAGGAAGAAGAGGCAGGCAGAGUAUGUCUGUAGAGCUUCCUGUGGAAGUGCUGAGAGGGCCAAGACCACUGCUCAAGCAGAAGAAAGGCAGGCACAGCUGAGACAUGUGGCAAAGCAGAAAAAUGCAGCUAGAUGCAAGGCCCUGGAGACAUUAGAGAUGGCAAGGAAGAAGAAGAAACAGUAGAGAGCUGGGGAGCUGGAAGAAGUAUACUGUACCGAAGGGACUGGCACAAUAGUCUAAUAAGUUCUAUUUUGGAAUAAAAUUUGUGUUCAAUUUUCCAGCAUUGUCUCUGUGUUCUUUACUUUUAAGAAUUUCCAAGGAACUGGGACAGUGUAUUUUCAUAUAAAGAACUUUGUGUGUGUAUAGGGUGAGCCCUGGAUGGUAGAGGUUGGUGGCAAUGUAAUUAUAUGAUAUUUGCUGCAGAGGCACAGCUUCGAUAAUCUCACUCCUUUUUGACCAUACCUCUGUUUGCAUCCCUGCAGAUAACUUUCUACAGGAAUAUGUGGUAUGUAUAUGAAUUCGGUGCUUACGCUUAUCUUCCACUCUUCUCUUGUUCUCAUUCUAGAUCGCUUGUGCUGAAAUUAUUAAUCGAUUUAAAAGAAUAUGAAUUACCAUUUUAAUAAUCUCUUCUUUUUUUCUGUUUCAUAACACAAAACCAAUAGUGCUUCUGGCUGCUGGUUAAAUUAACUUAAAGGUAGAAUAAAUGGUUCUCAAGAACAAUUGUGCAGUACACUUUGUCAGAUUCAGUAAAUAUCUCCUCAUGGUCUGCCAGCUGUGUGAUCUGUGUGUGCGAUGAAAAAAGAAUCCAGUGUUCAUACACAACCAUGGUUCUGUAAAUGGGCAACAGAGUGGCUCGGACCGAGCCUCACAUUAUUUUAGCCAGUCAGCAGGUGCAUUCAAGGUUUGUUUGUUUGUUUGUUUGUUUUCCCCCCCUUAUGGAACAGAUAAUGCUUCCAUUUUUAUAAAAUGUUUGUUUAAUGUUCUGCUGUAGUUAUUUGUUCUUGUCUCUAAAUUUGCCUUCCUUCUAGCUUUCACUUUACCUAGAUCUACAGUGUCACUAUUUUAUGUUUAUCCUUUUCUUGAUAGGGCUUGGUGAUGAGCUUUGGUUUACCUACCUUUUGUCUGUUUUGUACAGAGCAUGGAUCAAAACACCAUCAAUGAGGCCAUUGAAGACACCACCGUUGGGAUCUAUGUUCUUAAAAACAUGCUUCAGGUGAUGAAGCAGAGGACAUUGGCGUUGUUCUUGAAGGCAUCAAGGUGUUACUAGAGCUUGAUAAUGUAGCAUUAGCGGUUGCUAUGCUGUUUGGACUGAUGUAUGCACUGAACCUCAGCUACCCUUUUGACCUCCGCUACACUUUUGAGGUAAUCCAAAAGAUUUGGAUGGAACUGGAUGGAGGUAAACUUUCCAACAAAGCACUUGCUCUGAAAAACAGGCUCUCGGUCAAUGGCUCAGACUGAUUUCUGUUGUGUAUCCACUUUUUAUUUCUCAGUGACGAGUUUACGUAGGGUUGAUUUUAACUUUUGGUUUGUAAAGCCACUUUGAUUUGUCAAAGUUGUCAGCUAUGUAAAAUGGUGUUCGCAGGGUUAACCCUCACUGUAAUAUAUAAUUAGUUUUUAUUAUUAAA